This 601-nucleotide long non-coding RNA is filed under the name Triticum aestivum (bread wheat). RNAcentral describes it as "long non-coding RNA (TAES_LNC000363)". The record is from RNAcentral. Lineage: Eukaryota; Viridiplantae; Streptophyta; Magnoliopsida; Poales; Poaceae.
CACCACCUGGGUUAUGAACUGGGGUCAUCGGGCUCCCUAAAGCAGGAGUACCAUCACAAGGAGUGUUUGAUGCUUGGCCUGAUCCCUACAUUGUGUUGGAAAGUCACAUUAAAAAGAGAUCUCAAGCUAUUUGUUGAAAAAUGAUAGGUAAUGCUUGACAUGUUUGGCAAUGUACUAACCGGAGUCUCGUCGUCACCACGUGUCAAGAAUUCCCCAAUCGUUAGCAUUACUGGGUUCGGCCCAGGAUUGCGUGGUGCCGGUCCCAUUGGUGCAAUCCGAGUGCCAGAUUCCAUCCAAAUGUACAUAUUCUGCAUGUUAGUUGACAAAGCGAAGACGGAAGUCAAAAAUAGUGAAAGCACAAAAUUUAGCUAGCUUGGCUAUAAAUGGUGAAAACUAACAAACUUGCAAUUGUUGGGCACGGUAUUCCUCGGCUCAAACCCGUUUGGCUUCAUGUUCAGCGAACUCUUGACGAUAAGUUUUGACAUACCUAGAGUAGGCCUAGAAUUUGACACAAUUAAUCUAAUCAGCAUAACCAUGCAGGAAAGAAAUGUGUGAACCGAUGAAAGGAGAGAUGCUUACUUCUUCCUCUUUGGAACGACUA